Molecule: ribosomal RNA, 234 nt
Filed under: uncultured bacterium
Lineage: Bacteria
Description: partial 16S ribosomal RNA
Rfam family: Bacterial small subunit ribosomal RNA
Source: RNAcentral
GACGAACGCUGGCGGCGUGCUUAACACAUGCAAGUCGAGCGGUAAGGCCCUCGGGUACGACGAGCGGCGAACGGGUGAGUAACACGUGGGUGACCUGCCCUCAGCUCUGGGAUAAGCCCGGGAAACGUGGGUCUAAUACCGGAUAUGACCUCUCAUCGCAUGGUGGGUGGUGGAAAGUCGGUGUCAUUGAUGCCGGCGGUUGGGGAUGGGCCCGCGGCCUAUCAGCUUGUUGGG